Molecule: long non-coding RNA, 5753 nt
Organism: Tyto alba (common barn owl)
Lineage: Eukaryota; Metazoa; Chordata; Aves; Strigiformes; Tytonidae
Exons: 7
Source: RefSeq, a predicted model, not a curated record
UCCUUUCUGCAGCUUGGGAAAUGUGAAGGAGAAAGAGGCAAAGAGAGUGGCUAUAGCAGGGAAGUCUUCCUAUCCCAUCUCUAUUUCACUCUCACUGUGGAGAGGGGGUGUAAAUUAAUUACUAGACCAAUGGAGGGCAGAAGGGGUUGGGUAAUCUGGAUGAACUGUGCUUCAGUAGAAUUUAAAGAGUUGUGAGAGUAGGAAUCUUGGUAAAUCCAAAUCAGAAAAUGCUUGUAAGUGAGGACCAUGAGGCAUUAUCAUCUUUAGUUAGUGUCUGGAUUAAAGAUAUGCUACCUGCAAUGCAUGUUUAAUGCAUGAUACUCUACACUUCUGUGCAAAUAGAGUACUCUUUGCAGAGAGAGAUGUGUAGGGAUUCUUAUGAAUAGAGCUGUUGCUGCAAAUUCUUUACACAGCUGAUGAUCUGGGAAAAGGUAUGUUUGUGUAUGGUAGGGAGGAAGUGCUUUCAUCCCAAAGAUGUUCCAAAUCAAGUGCUGACAUUGUUUAGACUCCGAAGAUAUAAAAGAUAGCAGGCUCAAGUGUCUGGAUGCAUGUUAGAUUAUCAUGUUGCAUGGACCCAGAUCUGUGACUGCUCUUCAGCUUUAGUUGUCCUCUGCACAUAACAGCAUUUUCUGUCAUUACAGUGCAGGGCUGAAUGGUUUUGUGUUGCUGCAUAAUUAGAUUUUGUUUCAAAAUGAGAAAUGAAAACGUUAAAUGUGGAAAAACUAUGAGUAAAAAUGUUAACCAAUAUUUUUAAAGUAAACCACAUAUCUUAACAUGUUUUUUAUUAGGCAAUUUCUGAGGUGAAUUUCUGGAAGCAGUAGAAGGCCUGCUGCCAAAGGACACUUCAGCCUCUUUGGCAUGAACAUAGUCGGACUAGCAGCUCCAGUUUGGGGCAUUCUUUUGCCUUUGAUAGACCCAGGAUAGCCCAAGGGUGUUGGAUGGAAACAAACCUGACUCUUAUUUCGAACAGUUUAAGAUUCCCAUGAUUAUUUUUUUUUCCUACCACAAAUCAUCUAAACUUGAACAGCCACACUGUUUAGAGAGGUCAUAACUUGUACUAGGCCUAAAUUUUGUCUUAUUUUGGUUUAUUUUACCUUUUCUGGUAUAGUCUCUUUUUUAGGAUUAAUUCAUUUUGUUGCCUUAACAAAAGUAGGUGUUUCCUGAAGGGUAGCAGGUCCUGGGAAUGAUAAUACAAGCUAUGGUUAGUAUUGGGAGCAGUGAUCAGAGGAAGAAGUUAAUGUUGCAGGCACAUAAAAUGUUUGAGGUUGAACUCAAGUAGAUGUUUAUAGUUGCAUAAACACAAAUUACAGAUUAAAAAAAACCUGUCCCACAAAUAUUCACAAAUCAUAAGCAGCUGUAACAUCAGCAUGCAAUUGUUUUUUGUUUAUUAAAUGUUUGUCUUGGACACCUAGAGCAUGGCUAGUCCCUAUAUUCAUAUUAGUUAGCCUUUUUGCAAAAAAAAAAAAAAAAAAAGAUUCUGGUGAUUUGGAAAACUCAAGUGCAACCUCUUCCAAUGCCCAGUGGCUUUGAGCCCACACCUUGGCCUUCCACCUUUGCAGAGUAGGAGCCAAGUGUUGAUAGACGUAGACAUUGCCUCCUCCAGGGUUAGCCUAGCCUUAAGUAAAGGUUAGGAAUCUUGUUAAAGUGAACACCUAGAUUAUCACAGUAGUCAGUAGAGGCAUCUUCAGGGGCAAUUCAGUUCACCUAGUUUACACAUCACUUGCGGGAUAGGUUGAAUUACCUGCUGGGGUUAUGUAUCUCCACAUAUGGGAAGGACUAGUUGAUGAGAAUGGAACACCAGCUUUUACACAGCUGAAGUGAAUUGAGGUGGUUCCAUCUCCUCUUCACUGGUUAUGACAGCCCAAGACUUGGAAUUAAUAGAAGGGUAAGAUUAAAUUCAGCUCAGGCUUUAUAAAAAAAGACUUAAGAGUCGUUGUCUUUGUGCUCUGUGUCCUGUUAGUGCCCUCUUGGCUUCAGUGUUUAUGGUGUGCUGGAAGAACCCUGUUCAGUGGCAGUAUUAUCUUUGUCUCACAUGUAUCCAAAUACAAGUUGUUGCUUUCCUAGCCAGUGUGCUGUUGGCACAUUACUCAGAAAAUUUCUGGACAGGUAGGUUGCCAUAUUGCAGGACUGCUGAUCUCGGUUCAUUAGAGCAGUAUGAGAUACUUCCUGUAUUUCUGUGCCUUUUUUAUAUGGCAACAGGUGAGAACGAUUUGACUAUGCUGAGAAAAUGCCAUUACCAGUUCAUUUAAAAGGCCACAUUGUACUUUUUAACAGUAUACCUUUCUAAACAAUGUUCAAGCAAGAUAGGGAUAUAUUUAGAAGAUGGAUGUUCCAGCUGUUGGCUACCCAGAAGUGACAUAACACUAUAAUUCUAAAUAGGAUAAGGCUUUAACGGGUAUCCUAGAGGAAAAAAAAAAAAAGCUGUUUAUUAGUAGAAAUGUACUAAACUGUCUGCAUUUGACAAAGUGCUAAUGAAGGACGUUACUUCUAGAGAAACAAAUGAAAACGUCAAUUAAAAAAAAGUAAUGGCUCUCUGAGUUGUGGGUUGGUUUUUUGUUUGUUUUUUUCUUAAGAGAAGUGUUGGGUGUGUUUGUCAUAUUGCUUGAAAAGCUUUUGGUUUGUCUUUGUUGCCUUAGUUCUGUGGUUUGUUUUGUUUUGGUUGUUUGUUGUUUUCCCCUCUUCUAUAGCUGCUGCAUGGGAGUUGGAUUUCAUUUAGGCUGGAGGAUUAAUUUAAUAUUCUGGACUAAUGCUUUUUCUCUAUUUUAUGUUUUAUUUUUCCAAUAUUUUACAGAGCACCUUCCAGUGAAAAUGUGUCCAAGAGCACAGUGCCUGCAUUUAUCAACUUUGAGUUGUCUAAUCUUCAGAUAACUGAGUAACAAUUUCUGUUGGGGAGAAUGGGAUUAGAAUGGGUGCAAACUACUCAUGAGACCUUGCUCUCUAAUAAGAGGAAAUAAUUUUGAUUGCUAAAACAGAUAAUCUAAGAGACUUUUCCCAAAAGACCCUACAAAUCUUUGCUUAAGACCUCCUUUUCGUAAGUUUGCUGUGAAGCUGACAGCAUUCAUUGUCCUGCCAGUGGAACAAACAUAAAUGUGGUGAAUGUGGAAGCUGCCACACAACUGCUCACCUUCCAGGUGAAUGGAGCUGUAGCCACAGAUUUCGACCUUGGGCCUUACAUGUGUGGCCAUAAAAAGGUUUCUUGUAUUAAGUCUCUUUUUAGUAGAUGUCUCAUAGUUGCUGGAGAAAUUUGCCCCUCUGCUGCUGUUUUUCUGGUAGUGUUUCAUGGCAACUGAGGCUGGCACGCUGGCAGCCUAAAUCUCCUGGCUUUGCACUUCAAUACCUGAUAGUGACAUUUCAUAUCUCAGCAUAGAGUAGAAAGAGAAAGAAGAUCCUAUCAACUGUAGAGCAUUAGAGAAGCAGAAAUUCCCUCUUUACAAUUUUCUAAUGCAAACCAGCAUUUCUACAUGGUAACUGUUCAUCAUGAAGUAAUAGGUAAUCUUAGCGUUUGCUCGACAGGCAAGCUUUCUGAUAAGUAAUGUAUGUGUAAAUGUUUCCUUUACUUUAAAGUGUAUUGCUGUGUUCAAAUAGUAGUUAGAAGGCUUAGUGAGAGCAUUAAGGAAAGAAGCUUAUUCAUAGCAUUAACAUUAGCUGAGACGUUGACAUGUUAGGCUGCAACGGCUUGUACAAUGCCAUACACAGACAGAGGAACUGUGCACUUCCAUGCAGUGAACUGUUUAGUUUUUAAUGCUCUGUAUAUUUUCUUAUGUUAGAUGUAUCUCUAAUUAUGUGUUCUCCUAACAGAAUAAAACCAGCUACUUGAGGAUAAUGUCUGGAAAAAACAGACACUAGAAAGCAAGUUGCUGUGCUGAGUAAUGUCCAGCAACACAGUAUGGUUAAAAAUCCUUCCCAUGAUUGUAAUAUAUAAAUGAAGAUGUGCUUUCAUCUGAGUUAUAUAUGAUUGCAUCCACUUCAUGUGAAUGAGAAAUUGGGUGGAAGUGAAUAAAAAAUGGUGCUAAAGCUGUGCUAUCUCUAUUUCUAGAUAACCUGUGGCAUGGAUUAUAAGGUGUUCAACUAAAUACUUAAAAAAAUAAACAGAAUAAUGAGCAAGCCUAUGAAGAUACACAGAGAUGGACACUGUGAUGACACCACCGAACUUAAUUUGUUCUUUUUCAUGUAUUCCAGCUAUCUACCAUUCCAUGCUUAACACAAAAGAGUUAAGCAGCAGCUAGAGGAGGGAUCAAGGAUUGAACAUUUUGGAACCUAACAUCUGGUCUGCUUGAUUACUGCAUUAGCUACAUGUGUAAAAUACCCUUACCAGCUUCUAACUGUAUGGUUACACAAUGGAUUUAGCAAGGAAAGAGCCUACUCAACUUUUGGUUAAGCCUCUACAUACACAUUAGGAGAAUAAGUCUGAAAUAUCCCUCUAAGAAACAUAAUAACAAUGGUAAGUGUUACAAUGAUAACAUUCUGCAUGAUUUCUUUACCUGUUGGUUAAUUAUAUUCCCAGUACUGAGUGUUGCCAAAUUCUGGAUGACAGAAAACUCUAGAACAGAACUGCUUUGUUUCUACAUUAAUGCUUAUUUACUGGGAUACACCUGUAUGGAGAUGUCCUUCUGCUAACAAGAUCUCCAGUGAACUAGGAUGUCUUUCUAGUCAACAGUAAGUAAGCAGUCAUUUAGCUGCCCAACUUUCUAACAGCUGUAUUUCCCACUAUAUAAACACUAGCACAAAAAUUUGAAAAUAUAUUAUGAGGUAUUCUCAGCGCGUCUCCUUAUGGGAAAAAGCCCACACUUGUAAAUCUUGAAUCUGCCAAUAUGUCAGUCCCCUGGGGAGCCCUCAGAGAGCUUUGAGUUUUGGCCCCACUGACUGGAAACAGUAGGAGAUUCAGAGCUUGGAAAUGAUGCUGGUUUUGGAUGAGUCUAGACUUAAUGAUAUGGUAAAUGAGGAACAAUAUCAUAAACAGUUUGCACUAUUCAGUAAUCCAAAUAACAUACUCUCUUACAGAUAAAGAGAAAAUGACGCUCCAAUGCAGCAAUGGCAGGCUGGCAGGAAAUUUUGAGGGACUAGCACACCCCAGGAACAUGAAGGCAAUUAACAGGAAACAAUGGAACAUCAUGGAGGAGGUACCUGUGUACCGUGUCUGUCUCCAUGGCAUUCAAAUGUCAUCAGACGAAGCUAAGGGAUGUGGUACAAUAUAUUUGUUUAGCAUAUGUUCCACCUGCCCUUCAUCCCAGCAAUGGCCCCUAUUAGUAAUGGAUAUGCAAAGGAUUGAUCUUAGCAGAGCAAGAUUCUUUUUAACACUGAAUAAAUCUGGAGCACAUUACACUCUUGGUUUAAAAUUGGCUCAGUGUGGGAGAAAACAACCUCCAAGGUAAUUCUGAAUUCUGUUUCCAGUUUUAUGUAAGACAAAUCCUGUAUUUUUCUCCUAUGGCAAUACCUGAUCUUCCACUCUUUAGGCAGGAAAAACUCAAGAUGUCUUACAUCUAUCAGUACUUGCAAAAUGGAAUUCUUUCUGUUUAUUUUAAAGAGUUUUUACUUCUGGAUUUUUAAUUUUCACUCAGAAUUUUAAAUUUGGUUUGGUACUUUUUAUAGGUGAUUAGAUUCAGUUGAUAAUUUUGACCUACAGGGAACAAUGAGGCUUACAAGCAGUAUCUAGAAUUCCUUGAAAACAGUACUAUUUAAGUUAAAUAUAUUUUGUCUGACAGCAUAGCCAUUAACAAUUUGAAACAAAAAUUAUAAAACAGGAGAAUGUGUGA